AACAAGGUCUCCGUUGGUGAACCAGCGGAGGGAUCAUUGCUGGAACGCGCCCCAGGCGCACCCAGAAACCCUUUGUGAACUUAUACCUUACUGUUGCCUCGGCGCUAGCUGGUCCUUCGGGGCCCCUCACCCUCGGGUGUUGAGACAGCCCGCCGGCGGCCAACCCAACUCUUGUUUUUACACUGAAACUCUGAGAAUAAAACAUAAAUGAAUCAAAACUUUCAACAACGGAUCUCUUGGUUCUGGCAUCGAUGAAGAACGCAGCGAAAUGCGAUAAGUAAUGUGAAUUGCAGAAUUCAGUGAAUCAUCGAAUCUUUGAACGCACAUUGCGCCCUCUGGUAUUCCGGAGGGCAUGCCUGUUCGAGCGUCAUUUCAACCCUCAAGCCUGGCUUGGUGAUGGGGCACUGCUUUUACCCAAGAGCAGGCCCUGAAAUUCAGUGGCGAGCUCGCCAGGACCCCGAGCGCAGUAGUUAAACCCUCGCUCUGGAAGGCCCUGGCGGUGCCCUGCCGUUAAACCCCCAACUUC
Molecule: ribosomal RNA, 526 nt
Filed under: Phomopsis sp. RH19
Lineage: Eukaryota; Fungi; Ascomycota; Sordariomycetes; Diaporthales; Diaporthaceae
Description: eukaryotic LSU rRNA
Rfam family: 5.8S ribosomal RNA (bases 217-370)
Source: RNAcentral